Podarcis lilfordi (Lilford's wall lizard) is the source of this 73-nucleotide non-coding RNA. The record is from the annotation of a GenBank genome assembly. NCBI's taxonomy places the organism in Eukaryota, Metazoa, Chordata, Lepidosauria, Squamata, Lacertidae.
GCUGGGAUAGCUCAGUUGGUAGAGCAGGAGACUCUUAAUCUCAGGCUUGUGGGUUUGAGCUCCACAUUAGACA